CGGGAGUUUCCCAGGGUUCCUCGCGGCUCCUCACGUCCGUCCCGCGCUUCAGGAUGGCGUCGGCAGAAGCAGCAAGAUGAUUAAAGAAUGGAAAUGGCUCGAGGGUGAAAUGGAUCACGAAACCUGGCCAAGAGGUUAGCAUGAAAGAAUGGGCUACCUAUGUCGAGCAAGUCUAGGACUCCCCCAAAUGAGGCCAGCUGAAAAACAGCCACCUGCCUAAGAGCCAUCUGAAGGUGAAAAGGAAGAGAUCUGAAUGACCUGAUGGGAGUAUAACCAACCAGCUUUGAAAAUUAAAUUUCUUGAGCACACAUCAGCUGGGCGAAAAUAAGAUUCUAAUAAGACAUGUUGUCAACUGUAGAGCAACCACUCAGAAAAUAAAUUUUUAAAACUUGGAGGAAAAUCCCUGAAGAAAUUCAAACGUUAUACCAGAAAAUAUUCACUUAAUGCCAAAUAAAGCCAUAAAGGAGACGUAAAAACAAAACAACUUGAGACACACGGAAAACGAGAAGUAAAACAUCACACACACAACUGCAACCUGAUAAGCACGUUGAAUGUGAAUGAACUAAACAAUCCAGUCAAAAGGCAGGGAUUGUUAGACUGGAUUACAAAAAGCAAAAAAAACCAAAACCUAGAUCUGCUUUCGCUGUCUAUAGGAGACACACUUUAGAGUCAAAGACACAAACACGUUGAAAGUAAAAGGGCGGAAAACUAUAUACCACGCAAACAGCAACCACAGGAGCUGGACCGGCUCUACUAAAGUGACACAGAACAGUUUUGCAGCAGUUUGAGAGAGAAUGAAAAUUGGGUCAACGGCUUGCAUUGCGAAGGACCUUGAUAUACUUCCAUGAAAAUCUGUGCCUGUCCUGAUGAAAUGCAGCAGAGAACAGCUCUCCGGCACCAGUGCGUAUUGACCGGCAGAAACCCCUGAUUCAGUACUCUGCUUUUCUUUAAGGCCUCAGAUUCCUCAUUCAGAUCUAAGAGAAGGGGACGGGAUAGCAAGGUGCAGGAUGAGAAGGGGAAAUAUUCCUCAGACAGCACAGGAAAUGAACAUGAAGCUGACCGGGAUGAGGCUUGGAGGGGAGUAAACUGAGUAACUGGAUCAGAAUAUUCUCUGAGAAACACAAGCUGUUAUUGGAAAGGCCCCCAGGCUCAGGUGCCAUUCACACCAGUGACGAUGAUGAACAGGUGCCAAAGCACUGAGGUCAGCAACCUGGAGAAGGCUUCCUAUCAUCUAUCAGUAAGGGACACCAGCAUGUUCCCAGAAAGACUUAGGACACACGUCGUCGUGCUGCUGUGGAAUAUUCACCGUAAGUGGGGGAGAGAAAACAUAGGGCAGGGCCUUCACACCUCAAUCUCUGCAACUUAUAGUUUUCAGCCCUUGUCUAUAGCACAGACCCCAUUAGUCUCGAAUCCUUUCUGCCAAGGGUGACCCCCUGGGCAGUCACCCUGCAUCUUCCUCUGUGGUGGCAGGAGAGGGUCGUGGCAGUUGGUUAGCUUGGGCAUCCCUGAGAAGGACCAGAAGGCCUUCCCAGCUUGGCCCCACAGGUACUGAAGGGUGACGCUGUCCCUCUCAGUUGCACAUCAUUACAAUCUCUGUACCCCCUUUUACGGACAGGAAACCAGAGGCAAAAUGGGGUUGUAGCUGAGACUUAGUGAUUCCUCGUCUCCACAAGCUUCUGUUUCACCAUUUUUAAGUGGAAAAAAAAAAAAAAAGAACACCCAGCAUAAAAGGUUGUGAAGAUUGAGUGAGGUGAUCUACGUAAUGAACUGGGCACAGGGUCUGGUACCAUUUGGAGAUUUUUAGAUCAUUGUCGACUACUGGGUACAGACAGCUGCGGGGACACACCUUUCAGAGGAUACACGUCUCCUACAACAAUGAGAAGGGAGGUCAGCUCUUCUCCACUCUCAGCUGACCCAGCUUCAGUUCCAGAUGACUGGACAGCCACAGGACGACCGUCGUCUUCCUCACAGCGAGUCACGGAAGAGCUUGUGCGCAGGGCCCAAGCCCCCUCCCUCUAUGGGAGCCAUGCUGGGGGCUUCAGGCCAUACAUGCUGCCUGCUUGCGCUCACCCGUAGACACCCAGAGCAGCAGUGAGCGUGUCAGUCACCUCCUUCUAGCUGAAGCUACACAUGGUGGAAAGUGGGGAAGGAGCAGGGCAACAGAACCGGCUCAUCUCCUGCUUUGUGGGUGAUGUGUCACACCCUUCACGUCUAGAUGGGCUUGAGAAAGAGGUGGGUUGGCCAUUCUCUGCUUUGUGUGGAUAAUUCUCAUUUAUGAUGACGAGCGGCAAGCUGGAAGAGUGAACUGUAGACACGUGCGCACACACACACACACACACACACACACACACAAUGCUUGUGCCCAGCGGAGGUAUGGGUUGGGUGUAGUGGCCAGGAGCCAGGAUGGGAGCUGGGAAAUUCAGCAGGCCCAUUUGGUCACCGAUAAUACAAACAAUAUGCAAAUUAGAGUUCUCUUUAGGUCUUGGAUUGCUAUUAAUUUAAAACCCCAGGAAGACAGUUGAAGUGGACCUCUUGUUAUGUGGUUUGGAGCUGGUCUGAGUAGAGGGGUAGGAGAGGAUGAGAGGCGUGUGGAGAGGGGACCAAGCAGGACAGUAAGACGAGUGAACAAAAUAACGUGCCUUCGGAUGAGAAGAGCUUUGGGCAAUACUCUAAAAAUUCACCCUGACAAUCUCAGUUGGAAAAGAUCCCUCAACUGCAUACCUAGCCACCUGUAAGAAUCUUUUGAACUCUAGCAAAUAAUCUGUUUAAAGCAAAACACCUCAACUUUGUCACAUAACCAAUCUCAAUCAUGUGCUUUAAAGCCAAAUAUUCAAAAAAAUAAAUAAAGCCAAAUAUUCAGCAGACACACAACAAAGGAAGAGAUACCAGACAUGAAAGACAGAGACACAUUAAAUGCCCCCCCACCCCACACCUAUUUUCCUAUUUCUGUGUUGGCCCACUGGCAAGGCACUGCCUUGGCUACCUGCAUGCUGCCCACCUAAAAUUCCCUUUGGUCUCCACCGAGAACUCCAUCCUUCAGCUUCUCAAUCAAAUGGUCUAUGGCCCACCAAAGGAACAUUCUGGGAGAAGAGCAGUAAAUACCUGUGGGCUCUUCGUCAUCCACAGCACCUCUUAUAGGAGAAGGCUGUUCCAUGUGUGACCAAGCCAAGAGGAAGGCAAGUCAGGGAAGCAAGCCUGUCUUCCCUUGCUCAUGCAGUGCAGGUAUCACUUGUCACAGGUCACCUCUUCAGCCUGUUUUACUACUGGUUAGAAACUACAGAUGAACCCAGAGGUUAUGACUGGCCAGCUGGCCGGGAGGUAAAAUGGCCAUGCGACCAAAGUCCUGUGUUUAUCACCUCUCAUGGCAGCACAGUUCUAUGUUUUCUUAUGAAAAAAUGAAGAAGUCCCCCCCCCGCUCUGCUAUAUGGAUAAACUGGACCCCCACCCUUCCAGCCUCCAGCAGCCUUGAUCUUCCUAUUGGGAGGCAGGGUGCCCAAUGUAGCUGGAGCGAUGGGAGAGGAGCUGACAUUCACUGGACCACGGGAUUAAAACACAAGACAUCAGUGGGUGCUUGAUGAAGGCCUUCCUGUUCUCUGAUCUCUUUCUGUUUGAAUUCCUACAUUACUGGAGAGGCCAGGUAAGUGUAUUUGGGUCCCAGGGCUAUGUCUGGAGAGAGAGAUAAGAAUUACUACUCUAUGCUCUACGGUUCCCCCGAGAGAUGUCUGUGUUCUAAUUUCUGGCACUUGUGACUAUGUUAGGUGACAUGAGCGAGAGGGAUGACAGGCUGCUAUUCAGCAGACCUUGAGAUGGGGAGAUUGUCCUGGAUUACCCGCCUGGGUUCCUGUCAGGGGGAAGAGGGGCUCGAAAGAGCCAGAGAGGCAGCAGCGUGAGAUGUACUUGCUCUGGAGACAGAGGAAGGGGCCAUUUGUCGAGGAAAGUCUGCGGGACUUUCCAGAAGCUGGGAAAGCAGGGAAAUGGACUCUUCCCUAGAGCUUCCCGAAAGGACUGUACCCUGUGGUCCCCUGACCUCAGCCCAGUGAGCAUGCUGAGCUUCUAGACCUACACAGGGUCAAAGAUUAUACAUUUGUGUUGUCUUGAGCCCGUGUUUGCGGCGAUUUGUCACAGCAGCGAUAGGAAACUCAUACAUUCUCCGAUUCGGCUUCACCAGGAAUAAAGCGAAUCGUGGUGGGAGCUGGCAUCUAUGGAGGGCUUACGCCGUGCCAGCCUUUGUUCUAAGCACUUCACGUGUAGUAGCUCCUUGAAUUGUUUGCAGUUAUCUUACGAGGCAAAGUCACUGGUGGAAGGUCACACACAGCUAUGGGUUGGAAAGCCAGGAUUUAACCCAGCUCCCUGGUUCCAGAAAGUUAACAUUCUGCUGAUAUAAACUUAAAUGCCUAUUUUGCAUCUUGCAUCUCUGUGUGGCCGCGACUGAGAUCUAUUUACAGAAGCAAUGAACUCGCAGUCAUUCAGACUCCCCGUUGGUCCUAGGGCUCCGGCCCUGCCAUCUCUAAGACCUCGGGCAAUCCCUAAACUUAGCUGAGCUUCAGGAUGAUCCUUAACACGGGAAUACCGUGACCCACCCUGAGAAGUGACGUGACCAUCAAAUGGUCAAAUGAGGUGGCCCUGAUGUCUGGCACACAGCAGGUGACUGAGAAAUACUGAUGAUGAUCUACACUCCGAGGCUGAGAAUCUGGUCAUCCUGUCCUCCGAUUCACGCAGAUUCGACACCUCCCCAUACAGAGGCAAGAGAGUACUCGGGGGACAGCUGGCCUCCUAGCCUGGAUGGCUGGUCUUGUCGUCGGGCACCUCAGCCCAUGUGUACGCUCCUGAGAGUGAGGAAGAGGGUGAUCAGGCCUGCCAGGCACGCUGAUGAGAAAAACAGUGGACACAGAGGUCAAACUCAGCCCAGGGAGGAGAAGACUACGGGAAGAGCUGGUGUUGGGGGCUGACAUCAGAAAGAUAGCUUCUGUAGCUCAGGAGACCAAAAUGAGGACCCCCGGGUGAAGGCCUCAAGGGGGCAGGUACAGCCGAGGAGAAGAGUCUGUGGAUCGCAAGUGGCCUCAGUAGCAUGUCCUCCCCGCUGUGGAACCAUGAACGCCAAGGCCACCAGGCGGCCCCUGAGCCUACACUUGAUGGAUCUGGAGGUCCAGUCGCCCAACUUUGGAAAAGUCCUUACGGUUUCUACUAGUGCCAAACCCAUGCUGGCUGCAUCUCCUGGCAGAGAAAACCCCCAGGCCUCCAAGCAGGAAGAAGUCGGAGGCAGCACUUUGGCGAAGGUUCCCACUGGCACUGCCCACAGCGUAACUGGACGUGAAGACCCCAGGCCGGGAUCCAUACCCACAGAAGCCCGAGCCCGGUCAAGCCUAAGACACAACGCACCUUGUACUUCCCCUUUCCCGCCCACGGAGCACGGCUGGCCGGAGUCCUAAACGGCUCCACCACAGAGAAAACAACACGGGGAGAAGCCCAGACUUGGGGUGGCAAGUGUCCGCCCCGUGGCCCCGGGGCUGCUGAGCUGCUCUGCCGGCCACUUGGGGGGAGCUCAGCUGUCUGCCGGAGGCCGAGACCACGCUGCCCUUUGAGGACCUGUGCCCAUGCACACAUUUAAAGGAGAAAUUCACUUUUUAAAGAUUACAGUCUAGGACCCCCUGAACUACAGUCGCCUGGAGGUUACCUCGGGGCCCCUGCACCAGAAUUUCUGGGUGCGGGGCCUGGGACUUAAUUUAGCACGCCCUCCUGGUGUAUCUCCUGUUCACUAAUGUGUGAGAGCCACUGGUCUCAGAGGCGCCCCAAGUGCCGUGGCACCCGACUCCACCAGGCGGGGUGUGGAAUGUCUGGGGCCGGAGAAGGUGGGAGGUUCUAGGGGAGGUAAGGUUGGGCUUGUGAUAGGAAGGGAGCAGGUGCUGGGAGGCGCGGAACCUGGAGUGAAAAAAAAAAAAAUCUCAGGCUACUGAGUUACGGUUCUAUCUUCCAUAUGGAAAAAAAAAAAAUUCCCACCAGCA
Long non-coding RNA from Canis lupus familiaris (dog), 6002 nucleotides. RefSeq lists it as uncharacterized. NCBI's taxonomy places the organism in Eukaryota, Metazoa, Chordata, Mammalia, Carnivora, Canidae. The transcript has 6 exons. The record is from RefSeq and is a predicted model, not a curated record.